GACGAACGCUGGCGGCGUGCCUAAUACAUGCAAGUUGAGCGCUGAAGGUUGGUACUUGUACCAACUGGAUGAGCAGCGAACGGGUGAGUAACGCGUGGGGAAUCUGCCUUUGAGCGGGGGACAACAUUUGGAAACGAAUGCUAAUACCGCAUAAAAACUUUAAACACAAGUUUUAAGUUUGAAAGAUGCAAUUGCAUCACUCAAAGAUGAUCCCGCGUUGUAUUAGCUAGUUGGUGAGGUAAAGGCUCACCAAGGCGAUGAUACAUAGCCGACCUGAGAGGGUGAUCGGCCACAAUGGGACUGAGACACGGCCCAAACUCCUACGGGAGGCAGCAGUAGGGAAUCUUCGGCAAUGGACGAAAGUCUGACCGAGCAACGCCGCGUGAGUGAAGAAGGUUUUCGGAUCGUAAAACUCUGUUGGUAGAGAAGAACGUUGGUGAGAGUGGAAAGCUCAUCAAGUGACGGUAACUACACAGAAAGGGACGGCUAACUACGUG
RNAcentral lists this ribosomal RNA (497 nucleotides) under uncultured bacterium. Its description in RNAcentral is "partial 16S ribosomal RNA". It matches the Rfam family "Bacterial small subunit ribosomal RNA", at positions 28 to 507 of the family's 1533-position model. The record is from RNAcentral.